CGGUCCCGGUGGGUCGGUGCGGCGCGCGGAGUUCCCGGGAGAGUUCCGGCCGGAGCCGCGGAGCCCGCACGCCCGAGAGGCCCUCCGUGUGCCUUCCUCCAGCACCGGGCCGCUCUGUGGCGGGAGCCCCGCCGUCCGCAACCGCCGGGGACGCCUUUCCCACCGGGCAGCACAGCGAACCGGGGAGCUUCCCGCAGCCACCACGCUGGAGGCCCGCCUGAGCGCAGCGAGUGCCGCAGCUCCGGCCUCACGGAGCUACGCAGUUCUCGCCGGAGAGCAGACUUGAGAGUGGGGCCGGGGGCCAGGACGCGGUCAGGGCGGCAAGUUCACACUCAGAAGACAUGAAGGCCGAGAUGCGCCCAGUGCCUUGCGCCAGAGAGGCUUCCAACUGCACCAGCGAACUCGCCACAAGAAGCGCCUUGCGAGCACAGCCCGUGUGGGAAAACCUUCAGCCAAGGGCCGCAUCGCACUUAGCAUCACACUGCAGAAAGCCUUAAGUCGUGCAGGGGCUGUGUUCCCUCCUUCACUGUAGGGGAGGAGCGUGGAGAGAAUCUCUGAGAACAGCCUCUGAGAGGCUGCCGUGGGCCACAAGUCCAAUACCCACCCUGGGGAUAUUCCUUGUGAGCGCCAGGUGUGUGGGAGGCCGCUGAGGGCCAUGCUGCCCUUUCCCACCUGCCCAGGACCCUGACCACAGUUCCCUCUUGUCAGUGCCUGUGGUAAAGGCCGUCUUGUGGACUCUGCCUGCUGGGAGGGAUGCACUAGGGGACUUGUUCUGUUGUUGCCAGUUAUGGCAUGGGUGUGACUCAGCUUUGGUCAUGAGGGCUCAGUUGGGGUCUUUUUGUGGCUGACAGAGAUGGCCUACCUUUUUUCAUAGAUACUAUUGACCUCAUAUGACUUCUGUUGGAUUUGUCCAGUUUCCAAGUCAGACUAACAAAGGAACUGCCUCCCUCCCAUUAUUCUGCUGGGUAUGGGAAUAAAAGCCUUAUUGUUCAA
Molecule: long non-coding RNA, 993 nt
Organism: Neogale vison (American mink)
Lineage: Eukaryota; Metazoa; Chordata; Mammalia; Carnivora; Mustelidae
Exons: 2
Source: RefSeq, a predicted model, not a curated record